CGACACUACGUGCACAGCACAGCUGGUGAUUCAGGGACAGAGAUGAGAGGUGCCCUCAGGAUAAAAUGAAGAGGAGGAAGUACAGGAAAGGAAGCACAUUUCUGCAACAAUAUGUUGAACUAUUGAUUGAAGUUCCAUACUGGUUUUCUUUUCUCUGCUUCUGCACCAUGAAGGAAUAGCUUUGAAAAACAAAGAUGUUACAAGAAGGGCAAGACACAAGAAAUAGAUCCAAAAGCAAAUAGAGAGGAAAGAAAUCAGCAUAUUUCUUUGCCAAAUACCACCACCAAAAGAAGACAACAAAAACAAUGCUACUGUAACAUGAUGAAUCUUCAUCUUCCUUCAGAUUAAAGAAACGG
Molecule: long non-coding RNA, 356 nt
Organism: Mauremys mutica (yellowpond turtle)
Lineage: Eukaryota; Metazoa; Chordata; Testudines; Geoemydidae
Exons: 5
Source: RefSeq, a predicted model, not a curated record